CAAAAGCCAUUCUUCUUCCCCAUUCGUGUCCUGCUCGACUAUAAAUGUCUUCGUUAGUGACAGACUAAGCGAGCUCAGCUUCGGUUCACUUUGUGCGGGUCGUGUGAUCGGAAACCCUAACAAACGUCCCACUUCGGAUUAGCCCGAGCCGCCUUGCAGCAUGUCAGAGUAAAGGCAGAACUCCAGAGUUGGCUGUGAUUUUUAAAGGCCAGCAGAUACCAAACGGUCGGACCAGGAGGCUGAGGGGAAACAGUUGAGUGCGUAGCAGCCUGACGUUCAGCCAGAGUGGAUAGGGAUCUACGGAGGCAGGGACGUGAUGUGGCGUUUAUUCAUCGCCGCCUCCGCUGCUGCCUAUUCUUCAUCACAAAUUCAGUUUAUUCCUUUCAGAUUAAAAGAAAGGCGGCUGAUGUAAGAAAGCCGGAUCACAGACAGAGGAGACGUUCUAGCAUGUGGCAUUUAAUUUUACGCUGGGGCUUUGCAGCAGAUUUAGCAGAUUUAAGCAUGCCGCAGAAUACUUUUAAUUUAAUAGGAGAAAAGGAAAUUAAAGAAAAAUGUUACCAUUGUGGGACACACAAAAGAAAAGCAAGGAAGGUAAAUCCUGCCUCAUGUAGAAGUAUGGACCAGUGCAGCACCUUAUUGUUGGAGCCAGAUGAACUUUGUUCUCAUUGUCCGACAUUGACUAAAACUUUUAUGUUUUAGGCCAGUUACGAUUACCAAAAACGGACUUCUGUUUGAUAAAUGCAAAAAAAAGAGAGAUAUUUUAAAGGAAAUGUGCUACUUUCUUCAAAUUCAAAAAUGUACAUAAAGAGUCUGGAAGAGCACAGGUAAAAAUAAUGUUAACCUGUGGAUGUACAUAUUACCAUGGCAAUAUCACAUCUGGAAAUAGGCUAAAUGUAGUUUUUUGAUAGACCAUGAAUCAAAUAUUUCAAAUCAUAGCUUUGCUCUGUGUUUUCUUGCAUUUGCUGACCUUUUAAAGGUGCUGGUUGCAGCUCUUAACAAGGAUUUGAAAAACCACAAAGUGGAAUGCAAGUCCUUAAAAAAACUUUAGAAACCUCCAAAAACCUUUUUUGAUCUUUGUUUUCAUCAUAAAACAUCUAAUCAGUUUAAAUUAGUUGUAAUCAUCUAUUCCUAGAUCUGUAAACCAAACAGAGGUCCUGGUGUUUGUCUUCAAUCUCUAUGGUCAACUUCAGUCUUUGAUUCUGCUAAUGAUGCUUAAUGAUUCUUGCUUUAUGUAUUGCCAAGUUUUAGAUUUACAUUCUAUGAAAUUAUUGUAUUAUUCUGGAGUUGUGUUGCUCAUAGUGGCACCAUGUUGCAGUAGUUCUGUUAUGAAGUUUCUUUCUGCAGGACUUGAUAAUGUUUUGUUGAGGCUUGGACAAUCGCUCCCUCUGAUUUUGGACACUAUGCAAUUGGGAUACUUUUUCCGCCUACUUUUUUUACUUUCAGACAGGUUUUGUGAUGCGUAACCAUGGCAGCAAGGUAUUUUGUUGACAACUUGGAGCUUCUAAUUAGCCUCUGAGAACCUGAAAUAAUACCUGAACUAAGGAGGUUCAAACCAUUUUUUCCAGCCAUCAUAGCGAAUGUGGGUCAUAUCCCCUACUCCAACAUCUCUCUUUGACCAGACAGAGAUUUAAAGAGCUAAUGAGCUGGAUUAGCAGUCCUGCUUGCCAACAACUGGUGGAGUCGUGCAGGAGACGUUACUGUGGAAUAUCGUUUCUGCUGCCCGGAUACUGAGCAGAGUUUCUUUCUUUCCACGAUUCUUUGAAGAUAUGAGUGAUGACAACAUUCAGUUUCUCUUUGGGACAAAAAAAGUAUUUUUGAACUGAAUUGAACAUCCGAUGGGAACCGCACCUCUAUGAUGGAACACUAUCACACUGAAUGGUUGCUAACUCCAAAGUUGCAUGGUAAUAACAGCAUAACUGGGGUAAGCUAAUUCAAAUUUGGCAAAUUCAGCUAUUAGCUAUAACCUUAUCUGUGACUCAGAUCCAUGAACUGAAGAUGAGUUACUUUUGCUCAAAUUAACGCUGAUUGACGCCAAUUAACAAAUCAACUUUGCCAGUAAUUAUUUGUCGACACCAGAGUUCUUGUAAUCUUGUUUCCCAUUGGUGGAUGGAGUAGGUCAAUGAAACCACCUCAUUGGUUAGUGGAUUCGUACAGUUUGGAGGUUUAUAACCAGCAUUUUCUUUCCUCUCGGUGCUUUUAGACAUACUUUUAAUGUGGUCAAAUUUAGUUACUAUGGCAACAGUGCCCUUCUGAGGCUGGCCCCCAUAUUGGUGUUUGCUGUAUAUCUUCCAAUACCUGCAAUUAUUAGCAACUUGUUACAAAACUGCUCUUUUGAUGCAGAAUUUAUUCAGCGUAGGAAAAAAAAAAAAGAAAGAAAAUCAAAGUAGUGUUCUGUGCUUUAAGGCUUUCAGUAAACACAACCUUUUUUGUGCUUCUGAGAAAAUAUUGCCAUCCUAAAACCAACAUGUUUUAUUUCCUGCUGCCUCGUCUCGCUGGCUCUCUCCCGCUCGCCUCUCUCCGGCUGUCGCCUGCUAUAAUGUAAAUGAGGCUCUCAGCACUGAGCCUAUGAUGGUGUCAGCCCCCUCCUUAGUCUCUGGUCUCAUUAAAAGCCUAGUGUUGCUGACAUUUACCCAGCUGCAGUGUUGACUAGCUCUUCACGCGGGCCAAACGGGUCAAAACAAUACACGGUGUUAGCAUCAACAGUCCAAAUCCUCCAUGAAUGGGAGGCUGCCGGAGCCUGGGAUGUUCACUAAAAACACACACAUGUCAGAAAACAUCUUUUAAAAAGGCCUGCAAUGUUCUCCUGGUUUCAGUUUGAAAGUAUGCAUAUUAGGACGGAUUUAUGGCAAAUAUUUUUACUGAGGUCUGACUUCAGAUAUGGAACCUAUAAGAACUGAAGGCUGGACGGAUGAUGAAUGGACCUUAGCUGGAUGUAAAGAUAGAUGAUGGAUAAAUGGUAGAAUGGACGGAUAUAAAGGUGAGUGAAUGUAAAGAUGAGUGGAUGGAUUGAUGGAUGUACAGAUGGAUGAUUGCAAAGAGGGAUGAAUGAAUGUAAAGAUGGAUGGAUGACGGAUGGUUGUAAAGAUGCAUCCAUCCAUGGUGGAUGGAUGGAUGUAUUGUUGAAAAUGUGUUAAUAAAACGAGGAUUGUGUAUAAAGGCUGGAAAUCCUAAUUGUUCUAUGAUUUUUUUUUUCUUGUUUCCUUCUUUUCCAGAACAAAAAAAAAAAUCAUAUUUAAUAUUUUAUCCAGACUGUGUAGAAAACGUGUAAAAAUGUAAGACAAAACAUCACACAUUGUGAAUUUUGGUGUAAUUUGGCUCUGAUAAAGUGAA
Poecilia reticulata (guppy) is the source of this 3330-nucleotide long non-coding RNA. RefSeq lists it as uncharacterized. The record is from RefSeq and is a predicted model, not a curated record. Lineage: Eukaryota; Metazoa; Chordata; Actinopteri; Cyprinodontiformes; Poeciliidae.